ACAUGCAAGUCGGAGNGGUAAGNCCUUCGGGUNACACGAGCGGCGAACGGGUGAGUAACACGUGAGCAACCUGCCCCUGACUCUGGGAUAAGCGGUGGAAACGCCGUCUAAUACCGGAUACGACCUUCCGCCUCAUGGUGGAGGGUGGAAAGUUUUUUCGGUCAGGGAUGGGCUCGCGGCCUAUCAGCUUGUUGGUGGGGUAACGGCCUACCAAGGCGAUUACGGGUAGCCGGCCUGAGAGGGCGACCGGCCACACUGGGACUGAGACACGGCCCAGACUCCUGCGGGAGGCAGCAGUGGGGAAUAUUGCGCAAUGGGCGA
This 321-nucleotide ribosomal RNA is filed under the name bacterium xpnta324lb821offp11.20. RNAcentral's name for it is "bacterial SSU rRNA". It matches the Rfam family "Bacterial small subunit ribosomal RNA", at positions 53 to 378 of the family's 1533-position model. The record is from RNAcentral.